GUGGCUGUAGUUCAACGGUAGAACUCAGGCCUGUGGAGCCUGCAGUUGGGGGUUCGAUUCCCCUCAGCCACCCA
RNAcentral lists this transfer RNA (74 nucleotides) under Candidatus Microgenomates bacterium. Its description in RNAcentral is "tRNA-His". It matches the Rfam family "tRNA". From Rfam's summary of the family: Transfer RNA (tRNA) molecules are approximately 80 nucleotides in length. Their secondary structure includes four short double-helical elements and three loops (D, anti-codon, and T loops). Lineage: Bacteria; Candidatus Microgenomatota. The record is from RNAcentral.